Non-coding RNA from Hyaloscypha sp. PMI_1271, 128 nucleotides. The record is from the annotation of a GenBank genome assembly. NCBI's taxonomy places the organism in Eukaryota, Fungi, Ascomycota, Leotiomycetes, Helotiales, Hyaloscyphaceae.
GGUUUCAUGGUGUAAUGGUUGUACGUCACGCUUUACUCAAAGACAUCGACAUUUAUCACAAACUAACACUCUUUAGAGCACAUCGGAUUCUGAUUCCGGGGAUCUGGGUUCAAUUCCCGGUGAGACCU